AAAAUCUUUGCUGUGGGCCCUCUCCAGAAAAGCUUACCAACCCUCAGUCUGUAUGAACACUGGCAGAACACUCUGUUGUGGCAGUGAAAAGUCUUUGGAGAGUCUGAUUCCUGUUCCUCGGGCUCUGGGCCUCCAGAGGCUGAAGCCACCAGCUUCCCCUGGCCUGGGGGGGAGGCUAGCAAGGAUGCCAUCCAGCCACCCACCCACCACCCGCCUCGACCACGCUCCACACCUCUCGGAAGGCGAUGCGCAGCUCCC
This is a long non-coding RNA of Equus quagga, 258 nucleotides long. RefSeq lists it as uncharacterized. The record is from RefSeq and is a predicted model, not a curated record. NCBI's taxonomy places the organism in Eukaryota, Metazoa, Chordata, Mammalia, Perissodactyla, Equidae. The transcript is spliced from 3 exons.